CAUACAGCAACAAUGAUGGUUUGCGCCUUGAGAGAAUCUUUAUCCAAAAGGAUAAUGCCACAAUCCAUGCUGACGGCACUUUGUUAGGGCCCAAAACCAAUCUUCAUUUUGCUGUUCUGAAUUUUCCUGUCAGUCUAGUUCCAACUGUGGUUCAGGUGAUUGAAUCUUCAGCUUCUGACACAGUUCAUUCUUUGAGACAACUUUUAGCUCCAAUUCGAGGAAUAUUGCAUAUGGAAGGAGAUCUCAGAGGAAGUAUUGCAAAACCAGAAUGUGAUGUGCAAGUAAGGCUCUUGGAUGGUGCCAUUGGUGGCAUUGAUCUUGGACGAGCUGAAAUUGUUGCUUCUCUAACAUCGACUAGUCGUUUUCUAUUCAAUGCCAAAUUUGAACCAAUCAUCCAAAAUGGCCAUGUACAUAUUCAAGGAAGUGUUCCCAUCAAUUUUGUCCAAAAUAACUCAUUGGAGGAAGAAGACAUAGAAACAGAUAAAACUGGAGCAACUUGGGUCCCUGGUUGGGUGAAGGAAAGGAGUGGAGAUUCCACUGAUGAAGCCAGUGAAAAAAAAAAAUUUCGAGAUAGAAAUGAAGAAGGUUGGAAUACUCAAUUAGCAGAAAGCCUAAAAGUCCUGAAUUGGAAUUUCUUAGAUGUGGGAGAAGUUAGGGUUGAUGCUGAUAUCAAGGAUGGGGGAAUGAUGAUGUUGACAGCUUUAUCUCCUUAUUUCAACUGGCUUCAUGGCAAUGCUGAUGUUAUGCUUCAGGUAAGAGGUACAGUUGAACAACCUGUUCUUGAUGGAUUUGCAUCAUUCCACAGAGCAUCUAUAACUUCACCAGUACUUCGAAAACCACUUACAAAUUUUGGUGGGACAGUACAUGUAAAAUCAAAUAGGCUAUGCAUCACUUCACUGGAAAGCCGGGUCAGCAGAAGAGGAAAGUUAUUUGUAAAAGGCAAUCUACCCCUCAGAACAAGUGAAGCAUCUCUUGGCGAUAAAAUUGACUUAAAAUGUGAAGUCCUGGAAGUACGGGCAAAGAAUAUUUUGAGUGGCCAGGUUGACACUCAGUUACAAUUAACUGGUUCUUUGCUACAACCAAACAUAUCAGGAAAUAUUAAGUUGAGCCAUGGAGAGGCUUAUCUACCAC
RNAcentral lists this unclassified non-coding RNA (1131 nucleotides) under Hevea brasiliensis (rubber tree). The record is from RNAcentral. Lineage: Eukaryota; Viridiplantae; Streptophyta; Magnoliopsida; Malpighiales; Euphorbiaceae.